This is a long non-coding RNA of Spodoptera frugiperda (fall armyworm), 486 nucleotides long. RefSeq lists it as uncharacterized. NCBI's taxonomy places the organism in Eukaryota, Metazoa, Arthropoda, Insecta, Lepidoptera, Noctuidae. The transcript is spliced from 3 exons. The record is from RefSeq and is a predicted model, not a curated record.
UACACUCAAAAUCAGUUGAACGGACGGUAAAACAAGUAUCUUUAAAUUUCUAAUGUUAUAGUAAAUAGAGUAUAAUUAUGUAAUAUGAUUUUAUGAUUUUAUUAUGGUUGUUCUGCAGCGAUUUUUCAAUUGAUGUUAUAUCAUAAUUUGGGUACCUACUAUGUCGGGGUCCUACGAGAAAGCUGGCGUAUCAACGCCACGAAUAUUCAGGCGCCCGUAAAUCGUCAAAACGAGUGAAAAGCGCAUUCAGUUGGAUACAUGUGGACGACAAGAUAGUAAACCUGUAAAUUAUAACUCAAGUUGUGGCCAGCUUCAUUGUAAACAAACUUUAGUUUUCAAGUUCAAGGACAAAUGCGUGUCAGUAACAUGGAUAAAUGCUACUUCAUAUGUUUUAUUUCAGUCAAUGAACCUUUGACUGUUAUAGAAGUUUGUCGAGAUAAUAUAAUGACUUUAUCAGCAAUAUGAUGCCAAAGUUAAUACACUUUU